GAUUAACGCUAGCGGUGUGUCUAAUACAUGCAAGUCGAGCGAAGUGGUUUACCACUUAGCGGCGAACGGGUGAGUAACACGUAUUCAACGUACCCAAGCGAGGAGAAUAACUCUGGGAAACCAGUGCUAAUACUCCAUAGUCAUACGAAAAGCAUUUUUUGUAUGUUAAAGAGGCGUCAGCCUCACGCUUGGAUCGGAGUGCGGCGCAUUAGCUUGUUGGUAGGGUAACGGCCUACCAAGGCAAUGAUGCGUAGCCGGUCUGAGAGGACGAACGGCCACAUUGGGACUGAGAAACGGCCCAAACUCCUACGGGAGGCAGCAGUAGAGAAUUUUUCACAAUGGACGAAAGUCUGAUGGAGCGACACCGCGUGUCUGAUGAAGGUCUUCGGAUCGUAAAGGACUGUUGUAGGGGAUUAAAAAAUCUGUUAGGUAAUGAGCAGAUCUUGACUGUACCCUAUUAGAAAGAUACGGCAAACUAUGUG
Molecule: ribosomal RNA, 482 nt
Filed under: uncultured organism
Description: bacterial SSU rRNA
Rfam family: Bacterial small subunit ribosomal RNA
Source: RNAcentral